Molecule: ribosomal RNA, 406 nt
Filed under: uncultured bacterium
Lineage: Bacteria
Description: bacterial SSU rRNA
Rfam family: Bacterial small subunit ribosomal RNA
Source: RNAcentral
CUAAGAAUCUUGCGCAAUGGGCGAAAGCCUGACGCAGCAACACCGCGUGAGGGAUGAAGGCCUUCGGGUUGUAAACCUCUUUUACGAGGGAAGAAGUUUUGACGGUACCUCGUGAAUAAGCAACGGCUAACUACGUGCCAGCAGCCGCGGUAAUACGUAGGUUGCAAGCGUUGUCCGGAUUUACUGGGCGUAAAGGGCCCGCAGGCGGCUUGGCAAGUUUUGGGUGAAAUCUCGCGGCUUAACCGAGAGAGGUCUCAGAAAACUGCCAGGCUUGAAGCAGUGAGGGGGAUGCAGAAUUCCCGGUGUAGCGGUGGAAUGCGUAGAUAUCGGGAGGAAUACCAGAGGCGAAGGCGGCAUCCUGGCACUGACUUGACGCUGAGGGGCGAAAGCGUGGGGAGCGAACCGG